AAUGAACGCUAGUGGCGUGUUUUAUACAUGCAAGUCGAGCGGAGAUUAGCCUGCGGUCGAAGGAGAUUUGUCCGUAGUCUCUACGGAUGAUAAUCUUUUGGCUAAAGGCUACUCUUAGCGGCGAACGGGUGAGUAACGCGUGGAUAAUCUACCCCUGAGGGAGGAAUAACAUUCUGAAAGGGAUGCUAAUGCCGCAUAAUGUUAUUCUACCUCGGUAGUAUAACCAAAGUUAGAAUCUUUGAUUCUUUCGCUCAGGGAUGAGUCCGCGUCCCAUUAGCUAGUUGGUGAGGUAAGGGCUCACCAAGGCGACGAUGGGUAGCCGGCCUGAGAGGGUGUCCGACCACACUGGGACUGAGACACGGCCCAGACUCCUACGGGAGGCAGCAGUAGGGAAUCCUCCGCAAUGGGCGAAAGCCUGACGGAGCGACGCCACGUGAACGAUGAAGGCCUUCGGGUCGUAAAGUUCUGUCAGAGGGGACGAUGGUUAAUCCUUGGAUUGACUGACGGUACCCUCAGAGGAAGCUCCGGCCAACUACGUGCCAGCAGCCGCGGUAAUACGUAGGGAGCAAGCGUUAUUCGGAUUUACUGGGCGUAAAGAGUGCGUAGGCGGUCAGGUAAGUCAAAGGUGAAAUCUCUGCUCUCAAGGCAGAAACUGCCUUUGAUACUGCUUGACUCGAGGACAGGAGAAGAGAAGUGGAACUCUGGAAGUAGCGGUGAAAUGCGUAGAUAUUCAGGGGAACGCCAGUGGCGAAAGCGGCUUCCUAGCCUGUCUCUGACGCUGAGGCACGAAAGCUAGGGUAGCGAUCGGGAUUAGAGACCCCGGUAGUCCUAGCCGUAAACGAUGGGUACUAAGUGUGGGGGGAGCAUUACUCCCCGUGCUGAAGCUAACGUGUUAGGUACCCCGCCUGGGGAGUACGUGUCGCAGGGCUGAAACUCAAAAGAAUUGACGGGGGGCUGAACCAAGCAGUGGAGCACGUGGUUUAAUUCGACGCAAAACGAAAGACCCUUACCAGGGCUUGACAUGCUAGUAGUAGUGACCUGAAAGGGAAGCGAUCCAGGCUUCGGCCUGGAAGCUAGCACAGGUGGUGCAUGGCUGUCGUCAGCUCGUGCCGUGAGGUGUUGGGUUAAGUCCCUUAACGAGCGCAACCCUUGCUUCUAGUUGCCAUCGGAUAAUGCCGGGCACUCUAGAGGGACCGCCGCCAGAAAGCGGAGGAAGGUGGGGAUGACGUCAAGUCAUCACGCCCCUUAUGUCCUGGGCUACACACGUGCUACAAUGGCCAUGACAGAGAGAAGCAAGGGAGCGAUCCUGAGCGAAUCUCCAAAAGUGGUCCCAGUCCGGAUUGCAGGCUGCAAUUCGCCUGCAUGAAGCUGGAAUUGCUAGUAAUCGCGGAUCAGCUAUGCCGCGGUGAAUACGUUCUCAGCCCUUGUACACACCGCCCGUCACACCACCUGAGUUGGUUGCACCCGAAGAUACCCGACCAACCGGCUUGCCGGAGGAAGAGUGUCCAAGGUGUAUCUGGCAAAGGGGGAAUGAAGUUCGUAACCAAGGUAACCCUUAAUUAU
This 1563-nucleotide ribosomal RNA is filed under the name uncultured bacterium. RNAcentral's name for it is "bacterial SSU rRNA". It matches the Rfam family "Bacterial small subunit ribosomal RNA". The record is from RNAcentral.